AUUGAACGCUGGCGGCAUGCCUUACACAUGCAAGUCGAACGGCAGCGGGCCCUUCGGGGUGCCGGCGAGUGGCGAACGGGUGAGUAAUGCAUCGGAACGUACCCGGGAGAGGGGGAUAACCGGCCGAAAGGCUGGCUAAUACCGCAUGAACUCGGAAGAGCAAAGCGGGGGACCUUCGGGCCUCGCGCUCUCGGAGCGGCCGAUGUCCGAUUAGGCUAGUUGGUGGGGUAAAGGCCCACCAAGGCGACGAUCGGUAGCGGGUCUGAGAGGACGAUCCGCCACACUGGGACUGAGACACGGCCCAGACGCCUACGGGAGGCAGCAGUGGGGAAUCUUGGACAAUGGGCGCAAGCCUGAUCCAGCAAUGCCGCGUGGGUGAAGAAGGCCUUCGGGUUGUAAAGCCCUUUCGGCGGGGAAGAAAUCGGUCAGGCGAAUAGUCUGGCCGGAUGACGGUACCCGCAGAAGAAGCACCGGCUAACUACGUG
This 485-nucleotide ribosomal RNA is filed under the name uncultured bacterium. RNAcentral describes it as "partial 16S ribosomal RNA". It matches the Rfam family "Bacterial small subunit ribosomal RNA", at positions 28 to 507 of the family's 1533-position model. The record is from RNAcentral.